This 27-nucleotide non-coding RNA is filed under the name Homo sapiens (human). Lineage: Eukaryota; Metazoa; Chordata; Mammalia; Primates; Hominidae. The record is from RNAcentral.
UAGAGGGGAUGCAGAAGAUGGAGAAGA